Molecule: long non-coding RNA, 1508 nt
Organism: Pezoporus flaviventris
Lineage: Eukaryota; Metazoa; Chordata; Aves; Psittaciformes; Psittacidae
Exons: 3
Source: RefSeq, a predicted model, not a curated record
UUCAGAUGCUCUAUGUUCAAAUGUAUGUCAUGACUACUUAUGUACUGGUGACCAGCUACCAGAAAGGCGGGCAGAAGAUGAGAGACAUUUGUGGCUCAUCUAAUUACUAUGAUGUGAAUGGUGUAUGCUGCUUUUUGCCAAGCUUGGCCAACUCCAUUACUAUGGCACCCAGCAGACGAUUAAACCAGGUUUUCAGCUCCUGCUGGCCUCCACAGCAUUGCUUUAGGUUGCUCCAGAUACCACCACAACCUGCCUUGAACCCCCUGGAGGCUGCUUCCCAAUAGCUGCUGGCAUAGGCCUGAAAAGGCUUGUGUGAACACAUCACAAUUAUGAACAUCUGACCUGUGGCAAACUCCUUGCUAACUGCAACCAAGGUGCUAGUUAGGCAUUCCAGUCCCUGUUCUGCUGAGUCAGUUCCAAGGUGUGAGGGAUACUUCCCUUUCCUUCCUCUUUUCCUCUCCAAGUCAGUAACAGUUCCAGGAGCAGAGGACAGUUUCAGCCUGGAUCAACUGCUGUUUUUUUUUUACCUUGUAUUUUAUUUUCUUUCAUGUGAUGCUGAUCCCAGACAAGAGCCCAAGUUAAACAUUCCUGUCUUUUUUUUUUUUUUAAUGCUUUACAUAAAAGAUUCAGGUCUGUGAGGUUCUUCUGGAAACUCUAAAGUUCCUUCUCCUUUUGGCUUUGCAACAUGGAUUUCGAUCAUAGGAUAUAGCUGGUGUGAACAGUAGCAUCCAUCCGACUGCAGAAUUCAGGCACAAAACAAUAGCCAUGGCAAUAAUUAAAACACAUGUGGGUCUUGCAUAGUAGACAAAAUCACACCUGAUACUUCCGAUCUGUAAUUCAAUUCUGGGACUUCUGCAAGGUGGAAAUGUGCUCUACUCAUUUAAAUGACAAGACUGAACUACGUUAGGAUACUAUUAUGAUGGAACAAUGUUUUCCAGAACAGUUGAUUUAAAAUAGGUCUGUCUGCAAAGGAUCUACAAAUUUAUUUUCUAAGUUAGAGAUGCUCUAACAAAUCAAAUAAAGACAAGUGUAUAUCUAAAUACUAGAAAAUAAGUCUUUAUUGUCGUACUUAAUAAUGUGUAUAUAUUAGAUUAUUUGAACAAUUAUCUCAAAUUAUUCGUUUUACGUGCUUAUUAUUUUAUUUCUUCACUAUUAAAAAUCACCAUUUCUAGAUACAAGUAUAACCUUAGUGGUUAAACUGAAAUACCAUGCAUCUGACUGCUCAUGAAAUAGUACCUCUAGUAAAUCAUAUUAAUGAACAUAUCAACAGUACAGAAACAUUCUUUUUCUCUCUAUUUGAAUAGUUUAGUCACCAAAUUAUUUGAUGGACCAAAAUGUAUUUCUGUGACAAAAUGGAUUAAACUCAUAAAGCUGUAAGAAACGCGUAUCUUGCCUUUCAUCUCUCUCCGGUCACCCAGUUGGACAAAUGGGGCUCAGUUACUUGCCUCCUUUCUAGCUCAUUUGCCCAAGGCAGCAAACCAAAUGAACUAUGGGCAACAGUUUAUACA